AAAAAAGAAAAAAAAGAAAAAANAAAAAAAAAGAAGCUAAAAGCUAGUUGCUAAAAGUUAGUUAUGUUCCUAGUUUGCUCCUUCCAGGACCCCAGAUUGUUAACAUCAUAACUGGGGAAUGUAAGUUCCUAUCUGCUACUGAUCCUCCUGUUAAAAAUAUUUUAUUAAUAUCCAAAUAUUGGUCUAGGAUCAUGUUUUAUUAAUUUAUCUUCUGAAUGCUGGUAAAACCAUCCUGUUAACAAUUCAACCAAAACUUCACGUCUUUUUUUAUCAUGCUUAUUUUAUCUCUUUUAGAAGGAGACCCUUUUUUGCGCUUGAUAUAUAUUAUAAAAGGUUUUAAACCAAAUCUGGUUUAAAAGGUUUGAAUGCUCGUUGCUCUUGUUUUUAUAAUUGCUGAGAGCAAUUAUGCUUGAUAUAUAUUAUAAAUCUAACUUGUUUGCCAUUAGUUGAAGCAUUGCGAUGACCAUUGUCCUUUCUUGUCUUCAGGAAACUUAUCUAGAUUUUUGGAUUUUUAGAAGCAAGAGCACACAGAAUAGUUGCAGCCCUGAAGGGGCCUGCAAAGGCUACAUUUUUGCCUUGAAGGUCACUGAGGAGCUUCAGUGCUGGCCUGAACAGGCGAGCCACAAGAGGCAAUGGGUCAGUAUCUCAUUGCACUCCAACUAUAUGGUACACAAACCAGGUGCAUCAUUUGAGAAAUCACAGGCCCCCUACUAACAUUGCUAUUCUUAAAUCAGGUACAAGUGAUGGAGGCAUUUAAACUUUGUCGGUAUGAAUGGAUGCGUGAAGCUCUUCGAAAAUUCAUACAACUAAUGUCAGUCCAAACCAUGCCACCUGCUCUCGAGUUACCUAUGCCACCUGCUCUCGAGUUAGCGGAACCAAAAAAAUCCAGCUUCAACGACAAUGUAAUGUUAGUAGGGAUGCGAGUUGCUUGUCCUACAAGUUCUUGGUGAGAAUGAGGCUCGUUUUGUUUAAAAAAUUGUUGUGUGGAGUCCCAAUCGCAGGCAUUACUUUUAAUGGGCAAUUUGGCAUUGGUCUGCUGUCAGGGUGAGUCCCAAUCAUGGCAACAUUUUGAUCAAUCCAAUGGCUGCCAUUGGGGUUUCGGAAUCCAUGCUGGUUGUCAGUGUAGAAUAUGUUACUCAUGUUGUAAUUCUGCUGUAAUGAGAAUGGAUCUGUUUUCAUCAACUGGGAAUCAAUGUGUACAGUACUUUAUAUUUUGUCACUGGCCUGAUUAUAGUUAAUGUUUCAUGUAUCA
Molecule: long non-coding RNA, 1252 nt
Filed under: Elaeis guineensis (African oil palm)
Lineage: Eukaryota; Viridiplantae; Streptophyta; Magnoliopsida; Arecales; Arecaceae
Description: long non-coding RNA (EGUI_LNC019565)
Source: RNAcentral